RNAcentral lists this unclassified non-coding RNA (378 nucleotides) under plant metagenome. RNAcentral's name for it is "partial contains 5.8S ribosomal RNA, internal transcribed spacer 2, and large subunit ribosomal RNA". The stretch from base 1 to 105 matches the Rfam family "5.8S ribosomal RNA", at positions 50 to 154 of the family's 154-position model. The record is from RNAcentral.
GAAAUGCGAUAAGUAAUGUGAAUUGCAGAAUUCAGUGAAUCAUCGAAUCUUUGAACGCACCUUGCGCUCCUUGGUAUUCCUUGGAGCAUGCCUGUUUGAGUAUCAUGAAAUCUUCAAAGUAAAUCUUUUGUUAACUCAAUUGGUUUCUACUUUGGUAUUGGAGGUCUUUGCAGCUUCACACCUGCUCCUCUUUGUUCAUUAGCUGGAUCUCAGUGUUAUGCUUGGUUCCACUCGGCGUGAGAAGUUAUCUAUCGCUGAGGACACUGUAAAAGGUGGCCAAGGUAAAUGCAGAUGAACCGCUUCUAAUAGUCCAUUGACUUGGACAAUACUUUUAUGAUCUGAUCUCAAAUCAGGUAGGACUACCCGCUGAACUUAAGC